This 253-nucleotide ribosomal RNA is filed under the name uncultured bacterium. Its description in RNAcentral is "partial 16S ribosomal RNA". It matches the Rfam family "Bacterial small subunit ribosomal RNA", at positions 524 to 776 of the family's 1533-position model. The record is from RNAcentral.
UACGGAGGAUGCAAGCGUUAUCCGGAAUGAUUGGGCGUAAAGCGUCCGCAGGUGGCUGUGUAAGUCUGCUGUUAAAGAGUGAGGCUCAACCUCAUAAAAGCAGUGGAAACUACACGGCUAGAGUGCGUUCGGGGCAGAGGGAAUUCCUGGUGUAGCGGUGAAAUGCGUAGAUAUCAGGAAGAACACCGGUGGCGAAAGCGCUCUGCUAGGCCGCAACUGACACUGAGGGACGAAAGCUGGGGGAGCGAAUGGG